Molecule: ribosomal RNA, 465 nt
Filed under: uncultured bacterium
Lineage: Bacteria
Description: partial 16S ribosomal RNA
Rfam family: Bacterial small subunit ribosomal RNA
Source: RNAcentral
ACGCACGCUGGCGGCGUGCUUAACACAUGCAAGUCGCACUGAAAGGCCUCUUUCGGGGGGUACUCGAGUGGCGAACGGGUGAGUAACACGUGAGUAACCUGCCCUUGACUUUGGGAUAACUUCAGGAAACUGGGGCUAAUACCGGAUAGGAGCUCCUGCUGCAUGGUGGGGGUUGGAAAGUUUCGGCGGUUGGGGAUGGACUCGCGGCUUAUCAGCUUGUUGGUGGGGUAGUGGCUUACCAAGGCUUUGACGGGUAGCCGGCCUGAGAGGGUGACCGGCCACAUUGGGACUGAGAUACGGCCCAGACUCCUACGGGAGGCAGCAGUGGGGAAUAUUGCACAAUGGGUGGAAGCCUGAUGCAGCAACGCCGUGUGCGGGAUGACGGCCUUCGGGUUGUAAACCGCUUUCGCCUGUGACGAAGCGUGAGUGACGGUAAUGGGUAAAGAAGCACCGGCUAACUACGUG